This is a small nuclear RNA of Anolis carolinensis (green anole), 137 nucleotides long. Its record names the gene U5. It matches the Rfam family "U5 spliceosomal RNA". From Rfam's summary of the family: U5 RNA is a component of both types of known spliceosome. The precise function of this molecule is unknown, though it is known that the 5' loop is required for splice site selection and p220 binding, and that both the 3' stem-loop and the Sm site are important for Sm protein binding and cap methylation. NCBI's taxonomy places the organism in Eukaryota, Metazoa, Chordata, Lepidosauria, Squamata, Anolidae. The record is from Ensembl.
CCACUCCCCACAUUAUUAGGUGUCAAUGAUAAAUAAAUCUUUAUGUAUAAAUCUUUUGCCUUUUACUAAAGAUUUCUGUGGAAAGGAACAUUUAUGAGUUUGUAAACAAUUUUUUUGAGGCUGGGGGCAAACAUCAU